UACAGAGGGUGCGAGCGUUAAUCGGAAUUACUGGGCGUAAAGCGCGCGUAGGCGGCUUUGCAAGUCGGGUGUGAAAUCCCCAGGCUUAACCUGGGAACUGCAUUCGAGACUGCAUUGCUAGAGUAUGGGAGAGGGAAGUGGAAUUUCCGGUGUAGCGGUGAAAUGCGUAGAUAUCAGGAGGAAUACCGGUGGUGUAGACGGCUCUCUGGACCGCCACUGACGCUGAGACACGAAAGCGUGGGUAGCAAACAGG
RNAcentral lists this ribosomal RNA (253 nucleotides) under uncultured bacterium. RNAcentral describes it as "partial 16S ribosomal RNA". It matches the Rfam family "Bacterial small subunit ribosomal RNA", at positions 524 to 776 of the family's 1533-position model. The record is from RNAcentral.